Panthera uncia (snow leopard) is the source of this 104-nucleotide small nuclear RNA. The record is from RefSeq and is a predicted model, not a curated record. NCBI's taxonomy places the organism in Eukaryota, Metazoa, Chordata, Mammalia, Carnivora, Felidae.
GUGCUCGCUUCAGCAGCGCAUAUACUAAAACUGGAACGCUACAGAGAUUAGCAUGGCCCCUGUGCAAGGAUGACACGCAAAUUCGUGAAGCAUUCCAUAUAAAA